Molecule: non-coding RNA, 527 nt
Organism: Ictidomys tridecemlineatus (thirteen-lined ground squirrel)
Lineage: Eukaryota; Metazoa; Chordata; Mammalia; Rodentia; Sciuridae
Source: RefSeq, a predicted model, not a curated record
ACUGCCCAGCUGCUCGCCUGCUAGGCAAGCUGCGUAAACUCUGUGAGCCUCCAUUCCGGAAAGUGGAGCAAAUGCAGUACUGAUAAGACAGGGCUAUACUGGCUAUUUCAUGAAAGAGGGGACAGCAGGCCAAGUGUCAUCCUUGGCCCCAGAUGAAACACUCAGGGAAGAUGGACAGCCGCGCCGUGCUCAAAACCCAUGAUGCCCAGGGUUGCCUCAGCUAUUGAUCCAAACAGAUGGAGAAGAAUUAAUGGGAUUCUCCAAGCUGGGGUCACAACUAUAGGUGUCACCAGGAAAUUCUGUGCUGCUGCCUAAAGACAGGGACAAAGAUGAUAAAAUAGGAGGAGAUAAACAGUCAAUCCUCUAAGGUCGCCUCCAGGGACCAGAGAACCUAACAGGAAUGGACCCUGUAAAUUACAUCCCCUAGGUAGCACAGCUGAAUUGGGGGCUGGGUAACAGGGUGUUAAAAUGGAAGCCUUCCCCCAACCCAACUUAAGUUUGAUAACAAUAAAAAAUAGUGUCUGUGA